GACGAACGCUGGCGGCGUGCUUAACACAUGCAAGUCGAGCGGAAAGGCCACUUCGGUGGUACUCGAGCGGCGAACGGGUGAGUAACACGUGAGUAAUCUGCCCCUGGCUUUGGGAUAGCCACCGGAAACGGUGAUUAAUACCGGAUACGACCACUUCUCGCAUGGGAUGGUGGUGGAAAGUUUUUUCGGCCAGGGAUGUGCUCGCGGCCUAUCAGCUUGAUGGUGAGGUAAUGGCUCACCAUGGCUUCGACGGGUAGCCGGCCUGAGAGGGUGACCGGUCACACUGGGACUGAGACACGGCCCAGACUCCCACGGGAGGCAGCAGUGGGGAAUAUUGGACAGUGGGCGGAAGCCUGAUCCAGCAACGCCGCGUGAGGGGUGACGGCCUUCGGGUUGUAAACCUCUUUCAGCAGGGACGAAGCGCAAGUGACGGUACCUGCAGAAGAAGCACCGGCCAACUACGUGCCAGCAGCCGCCGUAA
Molecule: ribosomal RNA, 481 nt
Filed under: uncultured bacterium
Lineage: Bacteria
Description: partial 16S ribosomal RNA
Rfam family: Bacterial small subunit ribosomal RNA
Source: RNAcentral